UACGCAUGGUUUUGGGACAAAUCAACGUCGAACGCCUGCAACUCGAGCAGCACAAAGCCUGGAUGCUCAGAGGAUGGAUUUACGUAUAUUAUGAAUUACUCUAUCAGGCAUUUUGACAAAAUGUCAUGACUGACACCUCGUUUCACAGUUUCAGUCCUCAUGCAUUAUUACCCUGCGGGCCAUGCAUAUCGCCAUCAUGACAUGACUAAUAAGCGCAGGGGGUGAGUAGUAUGGUGCCAAACCUUACGCACAAGUCAAGCACACCGCUGGAAAGAAUAGAACACGAACCAUGUAGUUACCUUGAUUGUGAUGCUUACUACUCCGGCGACGAUUUAAACAAGCAAGUUCUGGUUCAGGCCAAGUACAGAGGAGGGGUUAAUGCAAUGAACGCUGG
RNAcentral lists this small RNA (394 nucleotides) under Histoplasma capsulatum var. duboisii H88. Its description in RNAcentral is "Histoplasma capsulatum H88 hypothetical RNA". The record is from RNAcentral. Lineage: Eukaryota; Fungi; Ascomycota; Eurotiomycetes; Onygenales; Ajellomycetaceae.